Molecule: long non-coding RNA, 691 nt
Organism: Phacochoerus africanus (Common warthog)
Lineage: Eukaryota; Metazoa; Chordata; Mammalia; Artiodactyla; Suidae
Exons: 3
Source: RefSeq, a predicted model, not a curated record
UUUGGCAGAAUUGGUAUUCCAAACUGGAAGAGGUUCUCUGUAUUUAAUUUCCUCUCCGGAAGUUUACCUUCAGAAGUCCAAGUGUGAGGUCAAGCCUUGGGUUGCCGGAAAUGGUAAUGUCCUUUACUGUCUGAGCACCCAGACAGCACUUAAUGAAACAUCCUACUUUGUGGACAUUGCUGCUGCUACUUCUGAAUUAUGAGGCUUGCCAUGCAUAACUCCUGCAGUGGAUAGUUUAUUUUUGCAAAGUGCAUGGAAUGAAACUUGUGGGGAUGUAGACUGCAGGCACAGAAAGAUCUAAAUGAAUGUGAAGGACUAUUUACAAAGCCCUAUGGACCAUGUUUGAAGAAGAUGAAAAAGGACACUGGAAUGGGGUUCUGGAAGGUUGUUAACAAUUUUGUUUGAUGACGGAAAAGAGUUUCCUUCCUACUUUCUGGUUUAAAAAGUCUUUCCUUACAAAUUUUGGAGCCAUGGUGAUAAAUAUACUAACCAAAGAGAAACAUAUAUAUAGUCCCAAGCUCAUUAUGUAUCAUGUAAGGUUUUUUUUUCCCCAAUGAAUUUUAUUAUAUUUAUAAUUUUACAACCAUUGUCACAGCCCAAUUUUACGUUUCAAUCCCAAACACACAGCCCAUCCUUCCCCCCACAACUUUUCUCCUUUGGUGACCAUAAAUUUUUCAAAGUCUGUCAGUCA